RNAcentral lists this ribosomal RNA (314 nucleotides) under uncultured bacterium. RNAcentral's name for it is "partial 16S ribosomal RNA". It matches the Rfam family "Bacterial small subunit ribosomal RNA", at positions 499 to 807 of the family's 1533-position model. The record is from RNAcentral.
UUAUAAGAGACAGCAGUCGCCACGGUAAUACGUAGGGUGCGAGCGUUAAUCGGAAUUACUGGGCGUAAAGCGGGCGCAGACGGUUACUUAAGCAGGAUGUGAAAUCCCCGGGCUCAACCUGGGAACUGCGUUCUGAACUGGGUGACUAGAGUGUGUCAGAGGGAGGUAGAAUUCCACGUGUAGCAGUGAAAUGCGUAGAGAUGUGGAGGAAUACCGAUGGCGAAGGCAGCCUCCUGGGAUAACACUGACGUUCAUGCCCGAAAGCGUGGGUAGCAAACAGGAUUAGAUACCCGUGUAGUCCCUGUCUCUUAUAC